Molecule: long non-coding RNA, 801 nt
Organism: Notolabrus celidotus (New Zealand spotty)
Lineage: Eukaryota; Metazoa; Chordata; Actinopteri; Labriformes; Labridae
Exons: 3
Source: RefSeq, a predicted model, not a curated record
GUCUUCACCCUAUCUCUGCAGCGUGCUGCAGGUGACAAUCAGCGUCAGGUAAACAGAGUGAAGCAGCAUGGCGGCGCCGGUGCGGUGUCUUAAAAUGUUUGAAUUCCGGGACUGUUGGACUCAAGGCUGCAAAGAGAAGAACUACCUGCAAGAUCUGGACCCCUGAAGUUGUGACGGAGGAGCAGGCGAGGAGAUGGCACAGUGGCAGACAGCUGAACGGUCCGAAAUUAAAGCUACACUAUGUCUUUAGCAGCAACUCUACAGAGGUGACUGCUCCUCUGCAAUGUGGUGAUGCAGCUAUUCCAGGAAGUGUGAAAGCGAAGGGUCUUCACACUUGAGAUUUGUGACAUUCUUCAUCCACCAUCAGCAAGAACCAGUCAUUGGAGAAAAAUCCACCGUGAGCAAGACAAUAAAUCCAACGUUAAAGACCAGAACCAGAUAUCCUCUGUCAGUCGUGAAUAAUAUUUGUGUUUCUUGUCUUUUUGGACACUGCCAAUCAAACAGCACCCACACAGCCUUGAUGAAGCAUGAUGUUGUUCAUAUAUAACUAAAAACGGUAUUGUUUGGACACCGUCAAUCAAACGGCUCCCACACUGUCUUGAUAACACAUGAUGUUUUUUUUGUAUAUGACUGUAAAUCUAUUGUUUGGUCACUGUCAAUGGAACAAAACCAGUCUUGAUGAGGCAUGAUGUUUUUGUUUAGAACUACACAUUCGAUUGUUGCAUAUUCAGAGGAAACUAUUUAAAAUCAAAACAGAUGAAGCCAACGUCAAUGUUAAAUAAAAAAAACAUGAGUAUCCUC